This 497-nucleotide ribosomal RNA is filed under the name uncultured bacterium. RNAcentral's name for it is "partial 16S ribosomal RNA". It matches the Rfam family "Bacterial small subunit ribosomal RNA", at positions 28 to 507 of the family's 1533-position model. The record is from RNAcentral.
GAUGAACGCUGGCGGCGUGCCUAAUACAUGCAAGUCGAGCGAACAGACGAGGAGCUUGCUCCUUUGACGUUAGCGGCGGACGGGUGAGUAACACGUGGGUAACCUACCUAUAAGACUGGGGUAACUUCGGGAAACCGGAGCUAAUACCGGAUAAUAUUUCGAACCGCAUGGUUCGAUAGUGAAAGAUGGCUUUGCUAUCACUUAUAGAUGGACCUGCGCCGUAUUAGCUAGUUGGUAAGGUAACGGCUUACCAAGGCAACGAUACGUAGCCGACCUGAGAGGGUGAUCGGCCACACUGGAACUGAGACACGGUCCAGACUCCUACGGGAGGCAGCAGUAGGGAAUAUUCCGCAAUGGGCGAAAGCCUGACGGAGCAACGCCGCGUGAGUGAUGAAGGUCUUCGGAUCGUAAAACUCUGUUAUUAGGGAAGAACAAACGUGUAAGUAACUGUGCACGUCUUGACGGUACCUAAUCAGAAAGCCACGGCUAACUACGUG